This is a long non-coding RNA of Lolium rigidum, 1078 nucleotides long. RefSeq lists it as uncharacterized. NCBI's taxonomy places the organism in Eukaryota, Viridiplantae, Streptophyta, Magnoliopsida, Poales, Poaceae. The record is from RefSeq and is a predicted model, not a curated record. The transcript is spliced from 5 exons.
CAGUUGCCUCCUCCCUGCGACAGACCAGGCACUAGCACGCACGCGACCACCGCCGUCUCCAUCUAGAUCCCGCCGCCGCCGCCGCCGCCGCCGAUGCAGGUCCAUGGCAGCCCCCAAGGGUUCACUCAGCUCCUCCUCAGCAUGGGAGUUCCAUGCCUAGAUUCGCCGAGGCAUGAUCGAGAAGAUGCAAUCUUUGUGGGAGAUGAGUGCAGCAGCCCAAGCCGGAGCGUCGAGUCUGGGAGCUCUGUAAGCAGCGGCGGAUUUCACGGAGGUAGCGGCGCCGGAUCUCGGGAUUCGCCACCAUCGCCGGGGUCAUGGAACAAUAGGGAAUGCGAUUUUUGAAGCAGAGGAGUUGGAGAAGGAUAUUACACAUGUUAUCUAUCCCGAAACGCACACAUCACCCUCAUACAUCGGAAAAGAGGCCACGAGUCAGAAAGAUUUCUGAUUUCCGAUCAGCAAAGAAUGGGAGGAAAAGCGCUCUGGAAUUAAAACUCCGAAAUUUGGAAAUAGGUAUUCGGACACGGUAGUAGCUACUGAGACAGGGAUGGAGUUUGAUUGGGGUCACCGAGGCACGAUAAGACAAACUCAGUGGCAUGUGGAUGUCAAGCCAUGAUCAGACUGAAAUGUACAGAAGACCAUGGGUGGUUCAUUCAUGUGUUCCCGAAGAAUCACAACCACAGUAUGUUGGUUUCUUGCGGAGAGAAGAUGCACUGGCCAUCACAUAGAAGCCUCCGACCCACACACAACCCUUUGUCAGGAACCUUAGGGAUAAUAAUGUUGGGCUCGACAAGAUGUAUACUGUCAUUGGGAGCUUUUUUUUUGGAUAAAUGGAGAAUGUACCAUUCAACAAGCAAUCUCUCAAGUCUCUGUAAGGCAGCAUUUCGUGUUCUCUGUUAAAAAAAAUAUCUCGUGUUCACUGAUAUUUUUUUCGUCCCAAUGACACCAUCUUUAUACUUCAUUGAGAGAUUAGACCAACUUUGUAAUAGACAUUAGAUAUGGCAGGUGUUCUGUCCUCUACAUGUAUGAGGCUAGAUUUUUUGACGUGUAUUAGUAUGCCUAAUAAAGUUUCAGUUAUGUA